This is a long non-coding RNA of Heterocephalus glaber (naked mole-rat), 546 nucleotides long. RefSeq lists it as uncharacterized. NCBI's taxonomy places the organism in Eukaryota, Metazoa, Chordata, Mammalia, Rodentia, Bathyergidae. The record is from RefSeq and is a predicted model, not a curated record.
CUUAUGGGACCACUACCAUAUAUCCGAUCUGUCUGAUUCAAAGGUCAUUAAGCAGUGUAUGACUUAUAAAAGCCUCCAAAACAGUUAAAGGCAACAGUGUUAAAGCUGGAAAGAGCUUAUGGAAUCUGCUACACCUGGGCCAGGACCAGAGUGAAUUGUCAGCUCUCUGAGUGGCCACCAGACUGAAUCCCAAAAUGGCAAACAUCCCCCCACUUCAGCUCUUGCUUGUAGCCCAUAAUCAAGUUUACAUAAACAGAAAGAUCCAAAGAGCAAGGAGUGCUAAAUCCUGCCAAGAGAGAGACAACGCUUCUCUGCCCGCAACUGUUUCAUCUCGGCACUCAAGGCUCUGCAAACCACUGUGUGGAAACAUUUGACUCAGGGCAGCCCGUGAGAAGGAAGGAGGCAGGAGCGCCUUUGCAGCAUGCGAGCUACAGUGAGCGUGGCCGGGGCUUGGUGACACCCAGUCCCUCCCUUCUCUGCCUCCCGGUCUUGGGAGUCAGUUAAGUGUUAUAAACUCUUAAUCACACCCUUGUUUUCCCAAAUAAA